CAGCUAGCUGGUGGGGUAACGGCUCACCAGGGCGACGACCGGUAGCUGGUCUGAGAGGACGAUCAGCCACACUGGGAUUGAGAACGGCCCAGACUCCUACGGGGGGCAGCAGUGAGGAAUUUUCGGCAAUGGGCGAGAGCCUGACCGAGCAACGCCGCGUGCAGGAGGACGCUUUUCGGAGUGUAAACUGCUUUUCGCUGGGAAGAGCGAGGACGGUACCAGCGGAAGAAGCCCCGGCUAACUACGUGCCAGCAGCCGCGGUAAGACGUAGGGGGCGAGCGUUGUCCGGAGUUACUGGGCGUAAAGCGCCCGCAGGCGGUCUGGCGCGUUGGGGGUGACAGUCGGCGGCUUAACUGCCGAAGGACUCACAAGACGGCUGGACUGGAGGGCCUCAGAGGGACAUGGAAGUCCGGGUGGAGCGGUGAAAUGCGUAGAGAUCCGGAGGAACACCAAAGGCGAAGGCAGUGUCCUGGGAGGCACCUGACGCUCGGGGGCGAAGGCCAGGGGAGCGAACGGGAUUAGAUACCCCGGUAGUCCUGGCGGUAAACGAUGACCACUAGGUGUGCGGCGUAUCGACCCGCUGCGUGCCGACGCAAACGCAAUAAGUGGUCCGCCUGGGGAGUACGGUCGCAAGAUUAAAACUCAAA
Molecule: ribosomal RNA, 647 nt
Filed under: uncultured bacterium
Lineage: Bacteria
Description: SSU rRNA
Rfam family: Bacterial small subunit ribosomal RNA
Source: RNAcentral